Molecule: ribosomal RNA, 2902 nt
Filed under: Klebsiella pneumoniae
Lineage: Bacteria; Pseudomonadati; Pseudomonadota; Gammaproteobacteria; Enterobacterales; Enterobacteriaceae
Description: 23S ribosomal RNA
Rfam family: Bacterial large subunit ribosomal RNA
Source: RNAcentral
GGUUAAGCGACUAAGCGUACACGGUGGAUGCCCUGGCAGUCAGAGGCGAUGAAGGACGUGCUAAUCUGCGAAAAGCGUCGGUAAGGUGAUAUGAACCGUUAUAGCCGGCGAUGUCCGAAUGGGGAAACCCAGUGCAAUUCGUUGCACUAUCGUUAACUGAAUACAUAGGUUAACGAGGCGAACCGGGGGAACUGAAACAUCUAAGUACCCCGAGGAAAAGAAAUCAACCGAGAUUCCCCCAGUAGCGGCGAGCGAACGGGGAGCAGCCCAGAGUCUGAAUCAGCUUGUGUGUUAGUGGAACGGUCUGGAAAGUCCGACGGUACAGGGUGAUAGUCCCGUACACCAAAAUGCACAGGUUGUGAACUCGAAGAGUAGGGCGGGACACGUGGUAUCCUGUCUGAAUAUGGGGGGACCAUCCUCCAAGGCUAAAUACUCCUGACUGACCGAUAGUGAACCAGUACCGUGAGGGAAAGGCGAAAAGAACCCCGGCGAGGGGAGUGAAAAAGAACCUGAAACCGUGUACGUACAAGCAGUGGGAGCACCUUCGGGUGUGACUGCGUACCUUUUGUAUAAUGGGUCAGCGACUUAUAUUCUGUAGCAAGGUUAACCGUAUAGGGGAGCCGCAGGGAAACCGAGUCUUAACUGGGCGUUAAGUUGCAGGGUAUAGACCCGAAACCCGGUGAUCUAGCCAUGGGCAGGUUGAAGGUUGGGUAACACUAACUGGAGGACCGAACCGACUAAUGUUGAAAAAUUAGCGGAUGACUUGUGGCUGGGGGUGAAAGGCCAAUCAAACCGGGAGAUAGCUGGUUCUCCCCGAAAGCUAUUUAGGUAGCGCCUCGUGAAUUCAUCUUCGGGGGUAGAGCACUGUUUCGGCUAGGGGGUCAUCCCGACUUACCAACCCGAUGCAAACUACGAAUACCGAAGAAUGUUAUCACGGGAGACACACGGCGGGUGCUAACGUCCGUCGUGAAGAGGGAAACAACCCAGACCGCCAGCUAAGGUCCCAAAGUCAUGGUUAAGUGGGAAACGAUGUGGGAAGGCACAGACAGCCAGGAUGUUGGCUUAGAAGCAGCCAUCAUUUAAAGAAAGCGUAAUAGCUCACUGGUCGAGUCGGCCUGCGCGGAAGAUGUAACGGGGCUAAACCAUGCACCGAAGCUGCGGCAGCGACACUAUGUGUUGUUGGGUAGGGGAGCGUUCUGUAAGCCUGCGAAGGUGACCUGUGAGGGUUGCUGGAGGUAUCAGAAGUGCGAAUGCUGACAUAAGUAACGAUAAAGCGGGUGAAAAGCCCGCUCGCCGGAAGACCAAGGGUUCCUGUCCAACGUUAAUCGGGGCAGGGUGAGUCGACCCCUAAGGCGAGGCCGAAAGGCGUAGUCGAUGGGAAACAGGUUAAUAUUCCUGUACUUGGUGUUACUGCGAAGGGGGGACGGAGAAGGCUAUGUUAGCCGGGCGACGGUUGUCCCGGUUUAAGCAUGUAGGCUGGUUGUCCAGGCAAAUCCGGAUAAUCAAGGCUGAGGUGUGAUGACGAGGCACUACGGUGCUGAAGUAACAAAUGCCCUGCUUCCAGGAAAAGCCUCUAAGCAUCAGGUAACAUCAAAUCGUACCCCAAACCGACACAGGUGGUCAGGUAGAGAAUACCAAGGCGCUUGAGAGAACUCGGGUGAAGGAACUAGGCAAAAUGGUGCCGUAACUUCGGGAGAAGGCACGCUGGUGUGUAGGUGAAGUCCCUGCGGAUGGAGCUGAGACCAGUCGAAGAUACCAGCUGGCUGCAACUGUUUAUUAAAAACACAGCACUGUGCAAACACGAAAGUGGACGUAUACGGUGUGACGCCUGCCCGGUGCCGGAAGGUUAAUUGAUGGGGUUAUCCGUAAGGAGAAGCUCUUGAUCGAAGCCCCGGUAAACGGCGGCCGUAACUAUAACGGUCCUAAGGUAGCGAAAUUCCUUGUCGGGUAAGUUCCGACCUGCACGAAUGGCGUAAUGAUGGCCAGGCUGUCUCCACCCGAGACUCAGUGAAAUUGAACUCGCUGUGAAGAUGCAGUGUACCCGCGGCAAGACGGAAAGACCCCGUGAACCUUUACUAUAGCUUGACACUGAACAUUGAGCCUUGAUGUGUAGGAUAGGUGGGAGGCUUUGAAGCGUGGACGCCAGUCUGCGUGGAGCCAACCUUGAAAUACCACCCUUUAAUGUUUGAUGUUCUAACGUUGGCCCCUGACCGGGGUUGCGGACAGUGUCUGGUGGGUAGUUUGACUGGGGCGGUCUCCUCCCAAAGCGUAACGGAGGAGCACGAAGGUUAGCUAAUCCUGGUCGGACAUCAGGAGGUUAGUGCAAUGGCAUAAGCUAGCUUGACUGCGAGCGUGACGGCGCGAGCAGGUGCGAAAGCAGGUCAUAGUGAUCCGGUGGUUCUGAAUGGAAGGGCCAUCGCUCAACGGAUAAAAGGUACUCCGGGGAUAACAGGCUGAUACCGCCCAAGAGUUCAUAUCGACGGCGGUGUUUGGCACCUCGAUGUCGGCUCAUCACAUCCUGGGGCUGAAGUAGGUCCCAAGGGUAUGGCUGUUCGCCAUUUAAAGUGGUACGCGAGCUGGGUUUAGAACGUCGUGAGACAGUUCGGUCCCUAUCUGCCGUGGGCGCUGGAGAAUUGAGGGGGGCUGCUCCUAGUACGAGAGGACCGGAGUGGACGCAUCACUGGUGUUCGGGUUGUCAUGCCAAUGGCACUGCCCGGUAGCUAAAUGCGGAAGAGAUAAGUGCUGAAAGCAUCUAAGCACGAAACUUGCCCCGAGAUGAGUUCUCCCUGAGACUUUAAGUCUCCUGAAGGAACGUUGAAGACGACGACGUUGAUAGGCCGGGUGUGUAAGCGCAGCGAUGCGUUGAGCUAACCGGUACUAAUGAACCGUGAGGCUUAACCUU